UAAUAGCGUAUAUUAAAGUUGUUGCAGUUAAAAAGCUCGUAGUUGGAUUUUUGGUUCGUAUAACCUUCCCGAGUUCGCUCGUGAGUGGGUUGCAUGGGCCAUCCUUUCAGUUUGGCUGUGCUUCCUCUUAACUGAGUGGUGCAGUUGGUCUGAGACUUUUACUUUGAGCAAAUUGACGCGUUCAAAGCAGGCAAACGCCUUGAACACAUUAGCAUGGAAUAAUAACAUAGGACUGUAGUUCUAUUUUGUUGGUUUCUAGGACUGGAGUAAUGAUUAAUAGGGACAGUUGGGGGCAUCCAUAUUUAGCAGUCAGAGGUGAAAUUCUAAGAUUUGCGAAAGAUGAACUUCUGCGAAAGCAUUUGCCAAGGAUGUUUUCAUUAA
This 381-nucleotide ribosomal RNA is filed under the name uncultured eukaryote. RNAcentral's name for it is "partial 18S ribosomal RNA". It matches the Rfam family "Eukaryotic small subunit ribosomal RNA", at positions 592 to 976 of the family's 1831-position model. The record is from RNAcentral.